AAAGAGCUCGUAGGCGGUUUGUCGCGUCUGCUGUGAAAGCCCGGGGCUCAACCCCGGGUCUGCAGUGGGUACGGGCAGACUAGAGUGCAGUAGGGGAGACUGGAAUUCCUGGUGUAGCGGUGAAAUGCGCAGAUAUCAGGAGGAACACCGAUGGCGAAGGCAGGUCUCUGGGCUGUUACUGACGCUGAGGAGCGAAAGCAUGGGGAGCGAACAGGAUUAGAUACCCUGGUAGUCCAUGCCGUAAACGUUGGGCACUAGGUGUGGGGGACAUUCCACGUUUUCCGCGCCGUAGCUAACGCAUUAAGUGCCCCGCCUGGGGAGUACGGCCGCAAGGCUAAAACUCAAAGGAAUUGACGGGGGCCCGCACAAGCGGCGGAGCAUGCGGAUUAAUUCGAUGCAACGCGAAGAACCUUACCAAGGCUUGACAUUCACCGGACCGCCCCAGAGAUGGGGUUUCCCUUCGGGGCUGGUGGACAGGUGGUGCAUGGUUGUCGUCAGCUCGUGUCGUGAGAUGUUGGGUUAAGUCCCGCAACGAGCGCAACCCUCGUUCUAUGUUGCCAGCACGUGAUGGUGGGGACUCAUAGGAGACUGCCGGGGUCAACUCGGAGGAAGGUGGGGAUGACGUCAAAUCAUCAUGCCCCUUAUGUCUUGGGCUUCACGCAUGCUACAAUGGCCGGUACAAAGGGUUGCGAUACUGUGAGGUGGAGCUAAUCCCAAAAAGCCGGUCUUCAGUUCGGAUUGAGGUCUGCAACUCGACCUCAUGAAGUCGGAGUCGCUAGUAAAUCGCAGAUCAGCAACGCUGCGGUGAAUACGUUCCCGGGCCUUGUACACACCGCCCGUCAAGUCACGAAAGUUGGUAACACCCGAAGCCGGUGGCCUAACCCCUUGUGGGAGGGAGCCGUCGAAGUUGGGACUGGCGAUUGGGACUAAGUCGUAACAA
This 940-nucleotide ribosomal RNA is filed under the name Kocuria sp. Tianshan213-41. RNAcentral describes it as "bacterial SSU rRNA". It matches the Rfam family "Bacterial small subunit ribosomal RNA", at positions 562 to 1494 of the family's 1533-position model. Lineage: Bacteria; Bacillati; Actinomycetota; Actinomycetes; Micrococcales; Micrococcaceae. The record is from RNAcentral.